AGUUUAAUAUUGUAUAUAACAUAUCAAAUUGUAAAUUUGGAGAAAUGAAGAUUUAGACUA
Molecule: transfer RNA, 60 nt
Filed under: Metacrangonyx sp. 1 MDMBR-2012
Lineage: Eukaryota; Metazoa; Arthropoda; Malacostraca; Amphipoda; Metacrangonyctidae
Description: transfer RNA Tyrosine
Source: RNAcentral